Molecule: ribosomal RNA, 206 nt
Filed under: uncultured bacterium
Lineage: Bacteria
Description: partial 16S ribosomal RNA
Rfam family: Bacterial small subunit ribosomal RNA
Source: RNAcentral
UGCGUAGGUGGUUUUGCAAGUCAGAAGUGAAAGGCUACGGCUCAACCGUAGUAAGCUUUUGAAACUGCAAAACUUGAGUGCAGGAGAGGAGAGUGGAAUUCCUAGUGUAGCGGUGAAAUGCGUAGAUAUUAGGAGGAACACCAGUUGCGAAGGCGGCUCUCUGGACUGUAACUGACACUGAGGCACGAAAGCGUGGGGAGCAAACA